AAGUCGUAACAAGGUUUCCGUAGGUGAACCUGCGGAAGGAUCAUUAACGUAUCUCUGACGGCGAGGGCCCGUCCAGCUCCGUCCCGAAAAGGGGCGUGCAGCGGGCGUUCCCGAGUCGCUCAACCUUUGCAAACCCACCGUGCACUUUUGUCGGCGGAGGGCCUUUGCGGGCCCCGAGCCGGAUCACAAACUCCAAGUUUGAUUUUGAAUGUGAAGCGGACAUGUGCCGCCUAAAACUUUAACAACUUUCAACAACGGAUCUCUUGGCUCUC
This 272-nucleotide unclassified non-coding RNA is filed under the name air metagenome. Its description in RNAcentral is "partial contains small subunit ribosomal RNA, internal transcribed spacer 1, and 5.8S ribosomal RNA". The stretch from base 1 to 46 matches the Rfam family "Eukaryotic small subunit ribosomal RNA", at positions 1786 to 1831 of the family's 1831-position model. The record is from RNAcentral.